RNAcentral lists this ribosomal RNA (487 nucleotides) under uncultured bacterium. RNAcentral describes it as "partial 16S ribosomal RNA". It matches the Rfam family "Bacterial small subunit ribosomal RNA", at positions 28 to 523 of the family's 1533-position model. The record is from RNAcentral.
GACGAACGCUGGCGGCGUGCUUAACACAUGCAAGUCGAGCGGAGAUUGUGGAAGGUUUACCUGAAGCGAUCUUAGCGGCGGACGGGUGAGUAACGCGUGGGCAACCUGCCUCUUACAGGGGGAUAACACAGGGAAACUUGUGCUAAUACCGCAUAACAUCAUGAUAUGGCAUCGUAUUAUGAUCAAAGGAGCAAUCCGGUAAGAGAUGGGCCCGCGUCCGAUUAGCUAGUUGGUGAGGUAACGGCUCACCAAGGCGACGAUCGGUAGCCGAACUGAGAGGUUGGUCGGCCACAUUGGGACUGAGACACGGCCCAGACUCCUACGGGAGGCAGCAGUGGGGAAUAUUGCGCAAUGGGGGAAACCCUGACGCAGCAACGCCGCGUGAAGGAUGAAGGUUUUCGGAUCGUAAACUUCUUUAGUCGGGGACGAAUGAUGACGGUACCCGAAGAAUAAGCCACGGCUAACUACGUGCCAGCCGCCGCAGUAA